UGAGGAAUAUUGGGCAAUGCCCGCAAGGGUGACCCAGCAACGCCGCGUGGAGGAUGAAUGUCGUAAGAUUGUAAACUCCUGUUAGAGGGGAAGAAUAGUACCGGUUGGACCGGUAUAUGACUGUACCCUCAGAGAAAGCCCCGGCUAACUACGUGCCAGCAGCCGCGGUAAUACGUAGGGUGCGAGCGUUAAUCGGAAUUACUGGGCGUAAAGCGUGCGCAGGCGGUUUUGUAAGACAGAUGUGAAAUCCCCGGGCUUAACCUGGGAACUGCGUUUGUGACUGCAAGGCUGGAGUACGGCAGAGGGGGGUGGAAUUCCACGUGUAGCAGUGAAAUGCGUAGAGAUGUGGAGGAACACCGAUGGCGAAGGCAGCCCCCUGGGCCUGUACUGACGCUCAUGCACGAAAGCGUGGGGAGCAAACA
RNAcentral lists this ribosomal RNA (422 nucleotides) under uncultured bacterium. RNAcentral describes it as "bacterial SSU rRNA". It matches the Rfam family "Bacterial small subunit ribosomal RNA", at positions 355 to 774 of the family's 1533-position model. The record is from RNAcentral.